RNAcentral lists this ribosomal RNA (719 nucleotides) under Colletotrichum gloeosporioides. RNAcentral describes it as "eukaryotic LSU rRNA". The stretch from base 379 to 532 matches the Rfam family "5.8S ribosomal RNA". Lineage: Eukaryota; Fungi; Ascomycota; Sordariomycetes; Glomerellales; Glomerellaceae. The record is from RNAcentral.
ACAUUUGCUAGUACCCCACUCAGGAAGCAAAGUUUUUAUUUAGAGUUUGGUUUCUUCCGGCGGAGCCCACCCCCCCGGGGCGGGCAGAAGGGUCCAGGGAGAUCCCCCCGGCCGCAGCUACAAUAAAAGGUAUGUUCUACGCCGGGUCAAAGAGUUCCAAAUUUGUACUGAUCUUCCCUUAGGGGUAACCUGCGGAGGGAUCAUUACUGAGUUUACGCUCUAUAACCCUUUGUGAACAUACCUAUAACUGUUGCUUCGGCGGGUAGGGUCUCCGUGACCCUCCCGGCCUCCCGCCCCCGGGCGGGUCGGCGCCCGCCGGAGGAUAACCAAACUCUGAUUUAACGACGUUUCUUCUGAGUGGUACAAGCAAAUAAUCAAAACUUUUAACAACGGAUCUCUUGGUUCUGGCAUCGAUGAAGAACGCAGCGAAAUGCGAUAAGUAAUGUGAAUUGCAGAAUUCAGUGAAUCAUCGAAUCUUUGAACGCACAUUGCGCCCGCCAGCAUUCUGGCGGGCAUGCCUGUUCGAGCGUCAUUUCAACCCUCAAGCUCUGCUUGGUGUUGGGGCCCUACAGCUGAUGUAGGCCCUCAAAGGUAGUGGCGGACCCUCCCGGAGCCUCCUUGCGUAGUAACUUUACGUCUCGCACUGGGAUCCGGAGGGACUCUGCCGUAAAACCCCCAAUUUCCAAAGGUGACCUCGGAUCAUGCUGCAUGCCGCUCAC